RNAcentral lists this ribosomal RNA (1350 nucleotides) under Triticum aestivum (bread wheat). Its description in RNAcentral is "partial small subunit ribosomal RNA". Lineage: Eukaryota; Viridiplantae; Streptophyta; Magnoliopsida; Poales; Poaceae. The record is from RNAcentral.
AUGUCGUUUCGUAGCAUAGCUCGUGAUGUUAGGGAUGGUUUCGGUAGCUUGUCGAGACGGAGCUUUGAUGUGACAAUCGCAAGCCUUUACGGUCUUACUGGGCACCACAAGGGGAAGGCUCAGAGCUCACUGGAUGACUUCCUCGAUCCAGCUCCUGUAAUUCAAGAGAGCCGGUGGGCAAGUCUUCCUCCUGAGCUCCUCCAAGAUAUCAUAAGGAGACUGGAGGCUGAUGAGAGUACCUGGCCAUCCAGGAAGCAUGUCGUCUGCUUCGCGGCUGUUUGUAAGACAUGGAGGGAAAUGUGCAAAGAGAUUGUGCUGAGCCCUGAGUUCUCUGGGAAGCUUACGUUCCGAGUCUCUCUAAAGCAGCCUGGUCCUCGAGAUGGAAUGAUUCAAUGUUUUAUAAAGAGGAACAAAUCAAAAUCCACCUAUCAGCUCUACCUGUGCCUUACCAAUGUUGUUACUGCAGAAACUGGCAAGUUCCUCUUAUCUGCUAAACGGAACCGCAAGACAUCUUGCACAGAGUAUGCCAUCUCAAUGGACUCUGCCAACACCUCAAGAUCGAACAGAACCUACAUUGGAAAGCUGAGGUCAAACUUCCUCGGCACAAAGUUUUUAAUCUACGACACGCAGCCCCCGUACAACGGGGCCGUAGUCCCACCUGUUGGAAGGAGCAGCAGAAGGUUCAACUCAACAAGGGUCUCUCCGAAGGUGCCUGCCGUCAGUUACAACAUAGCCCAGGUGACAUACGAGCUGAAUGUUCUUGGCACGAGAGGGCCUAGGCGGAUGCGCUGCAUCAUGCACUCCAUACCGGCCUCCUCGGUCGAGCCCGGCGGCGUCGUCCCCGGCCAGCCGGAGCAGAUCGUGCCUCGAGCCCUGGGGGACUCGUUCCGCAGCAUCACGUCCUUCUCCCAGUCGUUCCGCAGCAGCGCCACCUUCUCCAGGUCCAUCAUGGACCAGUCCAUGGACUUCAACAGCGCGCGCUUCUCCGAGAUCAGCGGCGGCGGGAUGACGGACGGCGACGGCGAGGGCGAGGUCAAGGAGCGGCCGCUGGUGCUCCGCAACAAGCCCCCGAGGUGGCACGAGCAGCUGCAGUGCUGGUGCCUCAACUUCCGCGGCCGCGUGACCAUCGCCUCGGUGAAGAACUUCCAGCUCACCGCCGCGUCGAACCCGCCGCCGGCGGGCGCCCCGACGCCCUCGCAGCCCGGCCCGGUCGACCCGGAGAAGGUCAUCCUGCAGUUUGGGAAGGUCGCGAGGGACAUGUUCACCAUGGACUACCGCUACCCUCUGUCGGCGUUCCAGGCGUUCGCCAUCUGCCUCAGUAGCUUCGACACGAAACUGGCCUGUGAAUAA